RNAcentral lists this long non-coding RNA (249 nucleotides) under Rosa chinensis. Its description in RNAcentral is "sRNA RchiOBHm_Chr7g0205011". The record is from RNAcentral. Lineage: Eukaryota; Viridiplantae; Streptophyta; Magnoliopsida; Rosales; Rosaceae.
UUUGAAGGGCUCAAAUUUAUUGAUGUUGGCUGUGGAGGUGGAAUUCUUUCUGAGCCUUUAGCUCGGAUGAGAGCUGCUGUAACAGGAGUUGAUGCUGUUAAGAAAAAUAUCAAGAUAGCUCGCUUUCACUCAGUAUGGACUUGGAUCCAGUGACCUCAAAACUUGAAUGUCAAUGCACUACAGCUGUGCGGUUAAAAGUUACAAUGCUGAAAAGGGGAGGGCUAACAAAGUGCCUAAAUUAAGACUACU